GGCCCAGAUCGUUUACCGUGAAAAAAUUAGAGUGUUCAAAGCAGGCAGAUCCAAUUUUGUGCCCCGAAUACAUUAGCAUGGGAUAAUGGAAUAGGACCCUGUCCUCCUAUUUUCAGUUGGGUUUGGCAGCGCGAGGACUAGGGUAAUGAUUAAUAGGGAUAGUUGGGGGCAUUAAUAUUUAAUUGUCAGAGGUGAAAUUCUUGGAUUUAUGAAAGAUUAACUUCUGCGAAAGCAUCUGCCAAGGAUGUUUUCAUUAAUCAAGAACGAAAGUUAGGGGAUCGAAGACGAUCAGAUACCGUCGUAGUCUUAACCAUAAACGAUGCCGACCAGCGAUUAGGAGACGUUGAAUACAAAACACCACCAUCGGUGCGGUCGUCCUUGGCGUCUGGUCCUUCACGGGGCCGGGGCGCGGGGGUGGCUUAGCCCGGUGGCACCGGUGAAUGACUCCCCUAGCAGCUUGUGAGA
Molecule: ribosomal RNA, 465 nt
Filed under: Acanthamoeba sp.
Lineage: Eukaryota; Discosea; Longamoebia; Acanthamoebidae
Description: SSU rRNA
Rfam family: Eukaryotic small subunit ribosomal RNA
Source: RNAcentral